This 253-nucleotide ribosomal RNA is filed under the name uncultured bacterium. RNAcentral describes it as "partial 16S ribosomal RNA". It matches the Rfam family "Bacterial small subunit ribosomal RNA", at positions 524 to 776 of the family's 1533-position model. The record is from RNAcentral.
UACGUAGGGUGCGAGCGUUAAUCGGAAUUACUGGGCGUAAAGCGUGCGCAGGCGGUUUUGUAAGCCAGAUGUGAAAUCCCCGGGCUCAACCUGGGAAUGGCAUUUGUGACUGCAAGGCUAGAGUACGGUAGAGGGGGAUGGAAUUCCGCGUGUAGCAGUGAAAUGCGUAGAUAUGCGGAGGAACACCGAUGGCGAAGGCAAUCCCCUGGACCUGUACUGACGCUCAUGCACGAAAGCGUGGGGAGCAAACAGG